This 117-nucleotide ribosomal RNA is filed under the name Spirochaetota bacterium. Lineage: Bacteria; Pseudomonadati; Spirochaetota. The record is from RNAcentral.
CCUGGUGAUUAUAGAAAGAGGGCUACACCUGUUCCCAUUCCGAACACAGAAGUUAAGACUCUUAUCGCCAAUGGUACUGCACGGGUAGCUGUGUGGGAGAGUAGGACGUUGCCGGGU